CAGCAGCCGCGGUAAUACAGAGGGUGCAAGCGUUAAUCGGAAUUACUGGGCGUAAAGCGCGCGUAGGUGGUUUGCCAAGUUGGAUGUGAAAUCCCCGGGCUCAACCUGGGAACUGCAUCCAAAACUGGCGAGCUAGAGUAUGGUAGAGGGUGGUGGAAUUUCCUGUGUAGCGGUGAAAUGCGUAGAUAUAGGAAGGAACAUCAGUGGCGAAGGCGACCACCUGGACUGAUACUGACACUGAGGUGCGAAAGCGUGGGGAGCAAACAGGAUUAGAUACCCGAGUAGUCCCUGUCUCUUAUAC
This 301-nucleotide ribosomal RNA is filed under the name uncultured bacterium. RNAcentral's name for it is "partial 16S ribosomal RNA". It matches the Rfam family "Bacterial small subunit ribosomal RNA", at positions 509 to 807 of the family's 1533-position model. The record is from RNAcentral.